RNAcentral lists this ribosomal RNA (414 nucleotides) under uncultured bacterium. Its description in RNAcentral is "bacterial SSU rRNA". It matches the Rfam family "Bacterial small subunit ribosomal RNA", at positions 355 to 786 of the family's 1533-position model. The record is from RNAcentral.
UGGGGAAUAUUGCGCAAUGGGCGAAAGCCUGACGCAGCGACGCCGCGUGGGGGAUGAAGGCCUUCGGGUUGUAAACCUCUUCGGCAGGGACGAAGUUGACGUGUACCUGCGGAAGAAGCGCCGGCUAACUACGUGCCAGCAGCCGCGGUAAUACGUAGGGCGCGAGCGUUGUCCGGAAUUAUUGGGCGUAAAGAGCUCGUAGGCGGCUGGUCGCGUCUGCCGUGAAAGCCCGCGGCUUAACCGUGGGUCUGCGGUGGAUACGGGCCGGCUAGAGGCAGGCAGGGGCAAGUGGAAUUCCUGGUGUAGCGGUGAAAUGCGCAGAUAUCAGGAGGAACACCGGUGGCGAAGGCGGCUUGCUGGGCCUGUCCUGACGCUGAGGAGCGAAAGCGUGGGGAGCGAACAGGAUUAGAUACC